GAGAUUUAGAGAUUAAUUGGUUUCAGCUUCCAGAUAUUUGUACUAUUACUUCUUAGGUACAGUUGUAUACUUUAAUCAGGUGAUAUGAGGUAGCUAGUCAUUUCUUUUUUUUAUGAUGUAAGCAACAGCGAAUAAUAAUUAAGAUCCAGAAUUUCAAUAAAAGUUUCAAAAAGGUGUACUUUUUUUCUCAUUAGUUUUUUGCCUGGAUUCUUACCCUCAGCGCAAUGUUUUUGAGAUUCAUCCACACUGUAUCUCCUUAUCGUAGUUGAAUAUUAUCCCACUGUAUGGACAUAUUUACUGUUUGUUUAUCCACUCCCUUGUUGAUAGCCAUGUAGGCUGUUUCCAAGUUUUGGGUUAUUAUUAAUAAAUCUAUAACAUUCAAGUACAAAUUUUUGUGAGAAUAUACAACUUCAUUUCUCUUGUGAAGAUAGCCAGGAGAGGUUAUUUCUUGGUUAAACAGUAAGUGAAUGCUUGACAUUAUUUUAAAAAAAAAUACCAUUCAAAUUGAUUUCCAUUACCAGCAGCAAUACAUAAGAGGUAUAGUUGAUACACUUUCCAAUGCUAGAACUUAUUUUUUUUUAAUUUAGACAUUUUAGAAGGUAUACAGUAGCAUCUCAUUGUGAUUUUAAGUUGCAUUUCCUUAAUGUCUAAGAAUCUUGAUAAAGUUUUCAUGUGCUCUUUGACCACUUGCAUAUUAUUUUUGGUGAAACGCCUGCAAGCAUUUGCUUGUUCCAAAAUAAAUCUGUUUGAGUUGCAAGUAUUCUUUAUAUUUUCUGAGUUAAAAUAUUUUAUCAGAAGGAGUUCCAAUCAUGGCUCAGCGGUUAACGAACCUUACUAGCAUCCAUGGGAACUCAGGUUCAAUCCCUGGCCUCACUCACUGGGUUAAGGAUCUGAUGUUGCCAUGAGCUGUGGUGUAGCAGAUGCAGCUCAGAUCCCACGUUGCUGUGGCUGUGGUGUAGACAGGGAGCUACAGCCCUGAUUCGACCCCUAGCUUGGGAACCUCCAUGUGCUGCACAUGCGGCCCUAAAAAGACAAAGGAUUAAAAAAAAAAAAAAAGAAAAAAGAAUCAUGGAGCCAAAUGAUUUUAAUAUUUCUAGAAAGAAUAGAGAAUGGAGAAUGAGUCAAUAUAGAAAAAGAUUAUAGUUGACUUUUCCAGAGUUUAUUCCAUAAAAUUUUACUCACUAAACAAGGAUUAAAAACCCACCCAUGUACAGUAGGAAGUGGGAAAGUGGAUAAAAAGAAACAACAAGAAAAAAAAACUCAAAAUAAGAUAGUUAAACUCAAUCCAAAUAUGUGAAACAUACAUGUAUAUAAAAUAAGCUUACUUUUAUAAACAACACAAUACAACAAAGCUUAUUUUAAACAACACAACAAAGCUUAUUUUAUAUCCGCACAACUGUAUAAUUGCUAUAUACCAUUAAUGAAAGGCACUAAAAUACUUAAGAAUACAUACAAAUCAAAAGAUAUGAAUGGAAAAAAAUAUAUAUAUAAGGCAUAUUCUAAUAAAAAGGAAACAGUGGUUAUAGCAGUCAUAACAUUAGACAAAAUUUGUUUUAAGGCAAAAUAUAAUAUGGUAAAAGAGGAUCUACAUAAUGCAAAAAAAUUCCCAAAAUUGUGUCUAAACAUAAAUAUGAGUAAUAUAUAUUAGAGCCUCAGAAUGUAUAAAGCAAACAUUACAGAAAAAUAGAAAGUGACAACCCAACCGUUGUUUAUAAAAAGUUAUUACUAUAUUGAGAAAUUAUUUAUUUGUAAAAAAUUGACAAUUAAGGGAGUUCCUAACAUGGCUCAGUGGUUAGCAAACCCAACUAGUAUCCCUGAGGAUGUGGGUUCGACCCCUGGCUUUGCUCAGUAGGUUAAGGAUCCAGCGUUAUUGUGAGCUCUGGUGUAGGUCGCAGACACAGCUUGGAUUCCAUAUUGCUAUGACUGUGGCUAGGCCAGCAGCUACAGCUCUGAAUCGACCCCUAGCCUGAAACUUCCACGUGCCAUGGGUAUGGCCCUAAAAAGCAAAAAAGACAAAAAAAUUGACUGUUAAAAAACUUAUUUGCAAAAAAUAAAACAAAACUCUCAUAGCUAAAGAAUUUAUAACAAACAACUUGUAUUCACUAACUACAUGUAAUUAAACUGAAAAUAAUAUAGAGUUAGAAAAACAUUAGGAAAUUUUACAAAAUAAAACUGCUUCUACGUAACUCAUAGGGAAAAACAAGUCAUAGCAGAAGUUAGAAAACUAGAAAAUUUAAAUAUAAAUAAAUCUUAAAAAAAUAAGCACUACACAAGAAAUUUGUGGAAUUAAAUCUUGCAGAAUAUAACUGAAGUGUCAUUGAGAAUAUGUAUAGAUAUAAAUACUUGCAUUGGAAAAUCAUAAACUGUAAAUAACUAUACUUGCAACUCCAUAUUUGUGAAAAGUAGAGAAAACCCAAUGAAAUUUCUAAAAAUUAAUUAAGCAAUGAAACCAGAGAAACUAAUGAACUAUAAUGUCAACAAAUAAUUAAUAAAAUCAAAUGCUGAUUCUUUUUUUAAAAAGUAAUAAAAUAGACAGAACUCUGACCAUAUGUCAAGCAAACCAAAGAAGACAGAAGUGAAUAAUAUUAGACUUCUCAAAACCAAAGACAUAAUGAUUUAAUACAUCAUAAGAGAAUACUCUUAAAAAA
RNAcentral lists this long non-coding RNA (2648 nucleotides) under Sus scrofa (pig). RNAcentral describes it as "lncRNA (ENSSSCG00060047422.1)". Lineage: Eukaryota; Metazoa; Chordata; Mammalia; Artiodactyla; Suidae. The record is from RNAcentral.